RNAcentral lists this ribosomal RNA (612 nucleotides) under uncultured bacterium. RNAcentral describes it as "bacterial SSU rRNA". It matches the Rfam family "Bacterial small subunit ribosomal RNA", at positions 35 to 655 of the family's 1533-position model. The record is from RNAcentral.
GCUGGCGGUGCGCCUUAUGCAUGCAAGUCGAGCGAAGCUUUUCAGUAGAUUACUACAGAAAAUGACUGAGCGGCGAACGGGUGAGUAACGCGUGAGCAAUCUACCUUAGUUACAGGGAUAGCCCGAGGAAACUCGGAUUAAUACCUGAUAUUCUUUACAUUUCGCAUGAAAUCAAAAGGAAAGGUCAGCCGAACUAAGAUGAGCUCGCGUUCUAUCAGCUAGUUGGUGAGGUAAUAGCUCACCAAGGCAACGACGGAUAGCUGGUCUGAGAGGACGAUCAGCCACACUGGGACUGAGACACGGCCCAGACUCCUACGGGAGGCUGCAGCAGGGAAUAUUGUGCAAUGAACGAAAGUUUGACACAGCGACACCGCGUGUGGGAUGACGGAUCUAGGUUUGUAAACCACUUUCAGGAGGGAAGAAAAUGACGGUACCUCCACAAGAAGCCCCGGCCAACUACGUGCCAGCAGCCGCGGUAAUACGUAGGGGGCGAGCGUUGUCCGGAUUUAUUGGGCGUAAAGAGCUCGUAGGCGGUUCAACAAGUCGGUCGUAAAAGUUCAGGGCUCAACCCUGAAAUGUCGAUCGAUACUGUUGUGACUAGGAUACGGUAGA